This 128-nucleotide small RNA is filed under the name Marmota monax (woodchuck). Lineage: Eukaryota; Metazoa; Chordata; Mammalia; Rodentia; Sciuridae. The record is from RNAcentral.
GCUGGGCAUGGUGGCACACGCCUAUAAUCCCAACAACUCUGGAGGCUGAGGCAGGAGGAUUGCUAAGUUCAAAGCCUGUCUCAGCAACUUAGUGAGGCACUAAGUACCUUAGCAAGACCUUGACUCAA